GCCUUCGUGGUGUAGUGGUCAGCACACUGGACGUAUAAGAGAGAGCUCCGUGGUUCGAUUCCCGGCGAAGGAG
Molecule: transfer RNA, 73 nt
Filed under: Stegodyphus mimosarum
Lineage: Eukaryota; Metazoa; Arthropoda; Arachnida; Araneae; Eresidae
Rfam family: tRNA
About the family: Transfer RNA (tRNA) molecules are approximately 80 nucleotides in length. Their secondary structure includes four short double-helical elements and three loops (D, anti-codon, and T loops).
Source: Rfam by way of RNAcentral